UGAGUACGAGAUGCUACGGCAUCGAAGCAGUCUAUGUCAUACUUCCAAGAAAAGCUUGCACUGUCAGAAACAGAUAAUGCCUGUACCAUAACCGACACAGGUGGGUAGGUAGAGUAUACUAAGGGGCGCGAGAUAACUCUCUCUAAGGAACUCGGCAAAAUGACUCCGUAACUUCGGGAGAAGGAGUGCCUUAUUUUUAAGGUUGCAAUAACAAGAUCCAAGCAACUGUUUACCAAAAACACAGGUCUCCGCUAAGUCGUAAGACGAUGUAUGGGGGCUGACGCCUGCCCAGUGCCAGAAGGUUAAAGAAGUCGGUUAGCAUUCGCGAAGCUGGUAACUGAAGCCCUGGUGAACGGCGGCCGUAACUAUAACGGUCCUAAGGUAGCGAAAUUCCUUGUCGGGUAAGUUCCGACCUGCACGAAAGGCGUAAUGAUUUGGAUACUGUCUCGGAGAGGGGCUCGGUGAAAUAGACUUGUCUGUGAAGAUGCGGACUACCUGCACCUUGACAGAAAGACCCUAUGAAGCUUUACUGUAACUUGAAAUUGAAAUUGGACUUUAUUUGCGCAGUAUAGGUGGGAGGCGUUGAAAAUAUUCUUGCGGGAAUAUUGGAGCCAUCAGUGAGAUACCACUCUUGUAAUGUUAGAUUUCUAACUUUAUAUCAUUAUCUGGUUAAAGAACAGUUUCAGGCGGGCAGUUUGACUGGGGCGGACGCCUCCCAAAUGGUAACGGAGGCGCACAAAGGUUUCCUCUGAACGGGUAGAAAUCGUAUCUAGAGUGUAAAGGCAUAAGGAAGCUUGACUGUGAGACCUACAAGUCGAGCAGGGACGAAAGUCGGUCUUAGUGAUCUGACGGUGCUGAGUGGAAAGGCCGUCACUCAACGGAUAAAAGUUACUCUAAGGAUAACAGGCUGAUCUCCCCCAAGAGUUCACAUCGACGGGGAGGUUUGGCACCUCGAUGUCGGCUCAUCGCAUCCUGGGGCGGUAGUACGUCCCAAGGGUUGGGCUGUUCGCCCAUGAGAGCGGUACGCGAGCUGGGUUCAGAACGUCGUGAGACAGUUCGGUCCAUAUCCGGUGUAGGCGUUAGAAUAUUGAGAGGAGCCUUCUUUAGUACGAGAGGACCGAGAAGGACAUACCUCUGGUGUACCAGUUAUCGUGCCAACGGUAAACGCUGGGUAGCUAUGUAUGGAGUGGAUAACCGCUGAAAGCAUCUAAGUGGGAAGCCCACCUCAAGAUAAG
Molecule: ribosomal RNA, 1235 nt
Filed under: metagenome
Description: bacterial LSU rRNA
Rfam family: Bacterial large subunit ribosomal RNA
Source: RNAcentral